Non-coding RNA from Paramisgurnus dabryanus, 631 nucleotides. The record is from RefSeq and is a predicted model, not a curated record. Lineage: Eukaryota; Metazoa; Chordata; Actinopteri; Cypriniformes; Cobitidae.
GUAAAGUCUCUCAGUCUCCAUCAGCUAUCAGUCCACAGCAGAACAUCAGUCAGACAUCAGAUCAGAAACAGACUGAUUAUGGCUUCACUCCACUGCAGUCUGGAGACGCUCAUAUUUAUGACUCUGUUGAUGCAACGGACAAUAAAGUCGCAAGCUCAGUGACUCAGGCCGGCUCCAGUGAUGCCAUGUAUUAUAAGGUCAACUUCAAGAAAAAUAAUCUCAAGAGCAAAGGUAGAAACAACUAGUAGAGUAAAACUAAAGACUGAGAGAAGAAAACUCUUAAUCAUUUCUUUAUUCUUCAUUGUAGACAAUGAAAGUGAAUCCGCUGAUCUCACCUAUGCUGAUAUUGAACUGAAACCUAAGAAAGAAAUGAAGAAAAAGAAAGAAAAGAAAGGGAAUACCAGUGAAGGUGGUGACACUGUUUACUCUAAAGUGAAGAUGGGAGAUAAAGAUGUGGCUUCUGGAUCUGUUGAUGUGACUUAUGCUCAGAUUACAUAAAAGCCCAGAGGAGAAAAAGAUGGCAGUACAUUAACUAAUGGUUAAAGGAAAAUACCACCGUUUUUCAAUAUUUUACUAUGUUCUUCCCUCUUAACUUAGACAAAUGAAUACAUAACUCUCUUUUUUUCAAUAC